Molecule: ribosomal RNA, 465 nt
Filed under: uncultured Klebsiella sp.
Lineage: Bacteria; Pseudomonadati; Pseudomonadota; Gammaproteobacteria; Enterobacterales; Enterobacteriaceae
Description: bacterial SSU rRNA
Rfam family: Bacterial small subunit ribosomal RNA
Source: RNAcentral
CCUACGGGUGGCAGCAGUGGGGAAUAUUGCACAAUGGGCGCAAGCCUGAUGCAGCCAUGCCGCGUGUGUGAAGAAGGCCUUCGGGUUGUAAAGCACUUUCAGCGGGGAGGAAGGCGUUAAGGUUAAUAACCUUGGCGAUUGACGUUACCCGCAGAAGAAGCACCGGCUAACUCCGUGCCAGCAGCCGCGGUAAUACGGAGGGUGCAAGCGUUAAUCGGAAUUACUGGGCGUAAAGCGCACGCAGGCGGUCUGUCAAGUCGGAUGUGAAAUCCCCGGGCUCAACCUGGGAACUUCAUUCGAAACUGGCGGGCUAGAGUCUUGUAGAGGGGGGUAGAAUUCCAGGUGUAGCGGUGAAAUGCGUAGAGAUCUGGAGGAAUACCGGUGGCGAAGGCGGCCCCCUGGACAAAGACUGACGCUCAGGUGCGAAAGCGUGGGGAGCAAACAGGAUUAGAUACCCCGGUAGUC